CCUGCAGACAUAAGAAAGUCCUUGAUCAAGGGACAUUACUCUUAUGUUACGAUGAAAAAUGCUGAAAAUACUGAAAAUGAGAAAAAUUCUAUUGAAAAACAGAAUGAAAUGGUUUCAAGUAAAGGCAGUGACGUAGAUAUCGACCACGUUCUUUUAAAACAAAGAUUUUCUCGUAAUGAGCUGGUACUGCGGUUUUUAUCGUUAUUGUGUCUGUGUUUUAUGUUUGGCCUGUUUCUAAUACAGCUGGAUAUUAUGUGGAGAUCCCGAGAGUCAAUAUUAAUGGAGAUGUUGCUAAGAGACACUCAGCAGUUAUAUUUCCGGUACCCAGAUUUUUAUGACAUUGCUCAUAAUGAGGACACUUGGUGCUGGGACCCAGAUACUUUACUACUUAAAGUGAAUACAUCGUUCUUCGUUCACUGAUACAUGCCGGGUACCUGUACCCAUUGAUUUAGUCAUAUGUUUACAAAGCUAGUUGUGUUUGGUUCUGUCAUCAGUAUUCAUGUAUGGUUCUAGAGUGUCCAUAUGCUAGUUUAUAUUCCAUGAAGGAUUUAAUAUAUUCACCGCACAGAGGAAGCAUAUCAGGAAUUUUUGGUGGUCAAGAAAAUCUGGAAAAAGGAUCACUUUUAUACCUCAACAGUGCAAAUGUGACAAAAGGAAUCGAGACAAAAGAAAGUAAAUGUUCAGACAUGGGAAGAUUUACCUCCCUUGGACUGAUGCGGAGGAGUCUAUGCAGGAUAUUUACCACUUUUUCUUUAGUCCUUAAUUAAAUUUUACAGGUCUCCAUUGAAACUAGGAAAGUUUAGAUUUACCUGAGAGGAACGGAUACUAGUAUUAGAAAUAUAAUUUAGAGUUAGUUAAAGAUAGUUGUAUAAUAGCUAUAUAGAAAAUUAAGUUAAUUACAAAGUAUGAAUUACUUUUACUAAGUUGCGUUAAUUCUUGAAAGUCUGGUAAAUUAUUUAAAUUAUCGUUAAAAAGUUGAAGAAGAAGAUUGAGUUAGUUAUUGAAAGUUGAGUUAAUUUAAGAAAGUUGAGUUAAUUUUAGAUACAAAGAUGGAUUUGUGACCAAACAAAUUAUUUGUUCAAAAAACAAGAUUAUUACAAUCAUGCACUUUAAUCUUUUCAAUCAAAAUAUUCGAUAUCAUAACAAAAGUUUUGUAAGAUUUGUGGUCACGCUACUUUUGAUUUAUCUUUGAUUUGCAGGCUCUACUUUUCUUAGUCAUUUAUAUUGGAAAAUGCCACAAACAUUCCAACUACAUGUAUUCUUGCUCUUGAAAACAAGUUUUUGCCAUUAAUUUCUUCGAUAACAAGUUGUCAAAAAGACAUUGCAUUAACGAAAAGGUUAUUUCAAAUAGUCUGAAUUUCUAUAAUGUUUUAUUUAAAGGUUUCUGAAGUUAUGUACCUGCAGUGUAAAUGAUUUCAUGUUAAAAGUUUAGAUGUUCUUAAUAUAUAGAGGUUUGAUGCCGGCAUCAAAUAUAUGAAGGCGACCUGUAUAAUACAUGUAUAAUUAUGUUUGUUUGUGGACGUAUUUUUGCUAGUCAUUGGGUCAGUGUGUCUACAUUAUCAAUAACAUAUUUGUAGAUGUUGUGAUUUAUUGUGUCGCCUCUACGGAGUAGUGGCGACAUAUAGGGAUCACUUCUCCGUCGUCUGUCUGUCCAUCUGUCUGUCCGUCCGUCCGUACGUCACAAAACUUGUCCGGACUACUCCUCAUAAACUACUGGUGCAAUUUCAUCCAAACUUUACAGGAAUGAUCAGUACCAAGUCUAGUUGUGCAUAUUGUCAGCAUUUCCGGUUCAAUGAUUUUUGUCAGAGUUAUGGCCCUUUAAUAAUUUUUAAUUUUAAAGUUUGUCCGGACUACUUCUCUUAUACCACUAAUGCAAUUUCAAUGAAACUUUACAGGAUUGAUCUGUAGCUCAAGUCCUUGCGCAUAUUGCACGGGUUUUCCGGUUGAAUGAUUUUUGGCCGAGUUAUGGCCCUUUGAUAAAAAGGUUUCUUUUUCUGUGUGUUGCCAGAUACACAAAAGCUUGUCCGGACUACUCCUCAUAAACUACAGGUGCAAUUUCAUCCAAACUUUACAGGAAUGAUCAGUACCAAGUCUAGUUGUGCAUAUUGUCAGCAUUUUCCGGUUCAAUGAUUUUUGUUUGAGUUAUGGCCCUUUAAUAAUUUUUAUUUUUAAAGUUUGUCCGGACUACUUCUCUUAUACCACUAAUGCAAUUUCAAUGAAACUUUACAGGAUUGAUCUGUAGCUCAAGUCCUUGCGCAUAUUGCACGGGUUUUCCGGUUGAAUGAUUUUUGGUUGAGUUAUGGCCCUUUGAUAAAAAGGUGUUUUUUUUCUGUGUGUUGCCAGAUACGCAAAAGCUUGUCCGGACUACUCCUCAAAAACUACUGGUGCAAUUUUAUCCAAACUUUACAGGAAUGAUCAGUACCAAGUCUAGUUGUGCACUGUCCGUCUGUCUGUCCGUCUGUCACAAAAUUUGUCCAAACAUGAAAUUGGCCAUCAUGUGGCGACACAUGUAAAUACUGAUCGCUCUUGUUACAAAUAACUGUCAAUUAAGGAUAAAAGACCCUAAUAAACAUGUUAUUAUACUGAUAUUUUUUCAAUUAAUGAUGUAUCAGUCGUAAACAUGGUCUCUCAUGACAAAAAUGUACGAAAGAUAAGUAUUUAAAGAAUAAAACUGUUAAGAGAAGGCAGAAGUAGUUUCAUUAGGAUGUUACAUAAGAAUAGUCCUUAAACACAAAGUCGUGUUCAAAAGUGUUCAUUUAUUCCUUAAAGGGACUCCAAUGAAGUCCAGCAAUUGUCAUGACAGGACUGGAAAUAUUUUUUUCGUGAUUCUAAUACCAUAUGAGUAUGGUCUAUACCAAUAAUUUGAAUGCAAAAUUUCAGAUCAUUCUGUAACUCUGUUUUCCAGAAGAAUAAUUCUUUAUUGUACAAGAAGGCCUAAAAAUUUCAAAGUUAAUUGAUUUUACUCAUAUUGGGCAAAUAAAGCGCUAAGUAUUGUUUGUCAAUUUGCUUCUUAGUAUUUUUCUUCAAUAUUAUAUUUUUUCAUGUUUUUAACAUUUUAUGUGCCCUUGUUGAUCUUUGUCAGCUUUUCAAAUUUUAUGAUUUUAGACUUUGGAACUAAGUGGAGCUCCUUAACAUAGCAGUAUGUAAAGUUCUUCUUAAAUGUUUAUUGAGCUAGAUACUUUCAAGGAUUUAACCUUUUUAGUUAAAAAAAUAGUAUUAUGCAUCUUUAUAUACUGAAGUUUGAACAAUAGAACAAUAUGCAUAUGAGCCGCGUCACGCCAAAACCAACAUAGUGCGUUUGCGACCAGCAUGGAUCCAGACCAGCCUGCGCAUCCGCGCAGUCUGAUCAGGAUCCAUGCUGUUCGCUAUCAGUUUCUCUACUUGUUAUAUGGUCUGUAAGCGAACAGCAUGGAUCCUGAUCAGACUGCGCGGAUGCGCAGGCUGGUCUGGAUCCAUGCUGGUCGCAAACCCAUUAUGUUGGUUUUGUCAUGACACGGCUCAUAUACUUAUUUUGUCUGGUCAGUCUGUGUCCCAAACAAAUUACCUUUUACACGAAGUUGAUGCAAGAUGAAUAUUAAUUAUGCAUUCACUAAACCAGAACUUUCAUAUCUGUUCACCAUUAUACAUCAUUUGAUGGCAGCUUCCUUGAUAUACAUGGAAAUAAAACCUUGACCCUUAAAUAAUCUUGACCUUUCAAGGUCAAAUUUUCAAUAUUCAGGAAAUUUAAAUACCGUACAAAUUUAGUUCUGUGGGAUGAUGCAUUUCAUUGUUGGUUACAUGACAGUAAUCUUAAAAUUCCCAUCAACUUUAAAAAAACAACACUUUUUCUGUCUUUCAUAACAAGAGGUAUUUACUUCAAACAUUGUUCACUUUAAUCUCCCACAUAUCAUAUGACAUGGUUUAUUUACAUGAUAAGGGGAAGGGAACCUUCCCAUUAAUUCGGGGAAACAUAGCCCCGUAUUUUUGAAAAAGUGCGAGAAAAUUACACUUUCUGUAAACUGAAUUUUACGGAGAAGCAACCCUUAAACAGCCCUUGCUGUAAAAGAAACAAAAGCCCUGGCAGUUUGUUUUAAAGAAUUAUCUCUGGCUUCCAUUAUGGAACUGACAAGUUUGAAUUUUAUGAGUAUCAGGAUUGAAAAUUCAAGAUAAUCAGGCAACAGCUAAUAGAGCCUUGGCACACUAUGCGUAUAUUCAGACUAGCCUGGCUCUGAUAAGACUGGUGGCAAAGGCUAAUUACUUUUAAUCCCAGCAGGAUAUUGGUUUACACUUAAUAAUAUUUAUGCUAUUUGAGCCGUGUCAUGACAAAACCAACAUAAUGGGUUUGCAACCAGCAUGGAUCCAGACCAGCCUGCGCAUUCGCGCAUUCUGAUCAGGAUCCAUGCUGUUCGCUAUCAGUUUCUCUACUUGUAAUAGAGUUGGUAAGCGAACAGCAUGGAUCAGACUGUGCGAAUGCGCAGGCUGGUCUGGAUCCAUGCCGGUCACAAACGCACUAUGUUGGUUUUGUCUUGACGCGGCUCAUUUAUACUUGAACUACACAGCCAUGUUUGUUAGAGGGUAAAAUUUGUUUUAUGUGGUUGUUUAUGUUUUAUACAGCACAUGUAAUACAGUGCAGCCUCUGUAGAGCAACCCUUGAUAAACCAAUAACCUCUGUACAUCAGACAUAAACAAUCUUUCUACUUAGUAAGACUUCACAAUAGAUUUAACCCCUCUAAAGCAACGCCAGCAAAAUCUGUCUCUCAAAGGGGGUUGCUUGGCAGAGACUGUACUGUACCGCACAUGACAUGGCGCUUUGAUUAUAUCACUUUUGUCUGUUUUAAGACAGAAGAAUAUAGUAAUAUAGAAUUGUGUUUAUUUGUUAAAGUGACAUUAUGCUCAUUUUUUCAGAAGUUGAGCUACAUUGACUACAUAUUUCAAAACAUUGACUGUAAUAAUGGUGAUUGACCCACAGUUGAUUUUGGAAAAUAUUUAGGAUAAAAUAUAAAUCUGUCUAAAAUAUAAAAGA
Ruditapes philippinarum (Manila clam) is the source of this 5002-nucleotide long non-coding RNA. RefSeq lists it as uncharacterized. The record is from RefSeq and is a predicted model, not a curated record. The transcript has 3 exons. NCBI's taxonomy places the organism in Eukaryota, Metazoa, Mollusca, Bivalvia, Venerida, Veneridae.